RNAcentral lists this ribosomal RNA (315 nucleotides) under Helicobacter pylori. Its description in RNAcentral is "bacterial SSU rRNA". It matches the Rfam family "Bacterial small subunit ribosomal RNA", at positions 317 to 649 of the family's 1533-position model. Lineage: Bacteria; Pseudomonadati; Campylobacterota; Epsilonproteobacteria; Campylobacterales; Helicobacteraceae. The record is from RNAcentral.
AACUGAGACAUGGUCCAGACUCCUACGGGAGGCAGCAGUAGGGAAUAUUGCUCAAUGGGGGAAACCCUGAAGCAGCAACGCCGCGUGGAGGAUGAAGGUUUUAGGAUUGUAAACUCCUUUUGUUAGAGAAGAUAAUGACGGUAUCUAACGAAUAAGCACCGGCUAACUCCGUGCCAGCAGCCGCGGUAAUACGGAGGGUGCAAGCGUUACUCGGAAUCACUGGGCGUAAAGAGCGCGUAGGCGGGAUAGUCAGUCAGGUGUGAAAUCCUAUGGCUUAACCAUAGAACUGCAUUUGAAACUACUAUUCUAGAGUGU